Mustela erminea (ermine) is the source of this 769-nucleotide long non-coding RNA. RefSeq lists it as uncharacterized. The record is from RefSeq and is a predicted model, not a curated record. Lineage: Eukaryota; Metazoa; Chordata; Mammalia; Carnivora; Mustelidae. The transcript is spliced from 3 exons.
UUUGGUGUCCUGAGUAGCGAAGUAGUUGGCUUACGUUGGAACAAACAGACCAGCGGAGAUAUUUAAAGGCAAUAGGUGAUUUACGGAGUUCCUAACGACAGCCAGUCCAUUCUUUCUCCCCGAGAACGGAUUUCGCCAAUCGCCCCAGGGUGUGAAGAAUAAAAAGUGGGCACCUCACCGUUGGUUUGGCAUGAUUUGACUCAGCUGGCUUUUCUAAGCUCUUCCUUUUCCUCCCUUCCCCUUGCUGUGUCCGGGGCUAGCCCUGUUUGUCCCUUGGGUUUGUCCUGUUCCCACGUACUUCUGUCUGUCUGUUUGGACUUGUCUGUCAGUUCUCCACAUUGCCAUUGGAUGACAUCUCUUGACCAUUCGAUUUGCUAGAAAAUAAUAGCCAUGUCUUCGUUAUCUUGUUUUAUUUCAUUACGACACCUUAUUACUGUCCUCUCCUGCCCCGGGGUUAAAAACUCCUUGUGGACAGGCUGGGGCUUUCCUCGUCUUGUUGAUGGUGAUAUCCACAUGGGCCCACACAAUGGUGGAAGCAGCCAGAAGGUGCUCAAGAACUGAAUGGAUACGUCUGUCUGGGACGAAGACUCAGAAAUGGAAAGUUUUCAUUUUAAUUUGAUUCCAACUUUCUGGCCUGUCAUGGUCCACGGUGGCUCCGAAAGUCUCUGGAGACAGAUGACCCUGAAUUGGAAUGGUACUUCCGGCAGCCAAUGCACUUGGCACCUGCCCUCCUCUGCUGGUCUAUCCCGGGACAAUGAAUCAAAGUGUG